GGCCUCAUGAUGUAAUGGUUAGCACUCCAGACUCUGAAUUUGGUGAUCCGAGUUCAAGUCUCGGUGGAACCU
This 72-nucleotide transfer RNA is filed under the name Clytia hemisphaerica. Its description in RNAcentral is "tRNA-Gln for anticodon CUG". It matches the Rfam family "tRNA". From Rfam's summary of the family: Transfer RNA (tRNA) molecules are approximately 80 nucleotides in length. Their secondary structure includes four short double-helical elements and three loops (D, anti-codon, and T loops). Further hydrogen bonds mediate the characteristic L-shaped molecular structure. tRNAs have two regions of fundamental functional importance: the anti-codon, which is responsible for specific mRNA codon recognition, and the 3' end, to which the tRNAs corresponding amino acid is attached (by aminoacyl-tRNA synthetases). tRNAs cope with the degeneracy of the genetic code in two manners: having more than one tRNA (with a specific anti-codon) for a particular amino acid; and 'wobble' base-pairing, i.e. permitting non-standard base-pairing at the 3rd anti-codon position. The record is from Rfam by way of RNAcentral. Lineage: Eukaryota; Metazoa; Cnidaria; Hydrozoa; Leptothecata; Clytiidae.